GCACAAGCGGUGGAGCAUGUGGUUUAAUUCGACGCAACGCGAAAAACCUUACCUGGGUUUUGACAUGCCGAGUACCCGAUGGAAACAUUGGGGUGCCCCGUAAGGGGAACUUGGACACAGGUGCUGCAUGGCUGUCGUCAGCUCGUGCCGUGAGGUGUUGGGUUAAGUCCCGCAACGAGCGCAACCCUCACCCUUAGUUGCCAUCAUUAAGUUGGGCACCCUAAGGGAACUGCCGCAGUUAAUGCGGAGGAAGGUGGGGAUGACGUCAAGUCCUCAUGGCCCUUAUAUCCAGGGCUACACACGUGCUACAAUGGACGGUACAAAGGGUCGCGAACCUGCAAAGGGGAGCUAACCCCAGAAAACCGCUCUCAGUUCGGAUUGGAGUCUGCAACCCGACUCCAUGAAGUUGGAAUCGCUAGUAAUCGCGGAUCAGAACGCCGCGGUCGAAUACGUUCCCGGGCCUU
RNAcentral lists this ribosomal RNA (464 nucleotides) under uncultured Syntrophorhabdus sp. RNAcentral's name for it is "bacterial SSU rRNA". It matches the Rfam family "Bacterial small subunit ribosomal RNA", at positions 923 to 1382 of the family's 1533-position model. Lineage: Bacteria; Pseudomonadati; Thermodesulfobacteriota; Syntrophorhabdia; Syntrophorhabdales; Syntrophorhabdaceae. The record is from RNAcentral.